CUGUAUGCCAUGAGGAGACUCAAGAAGCCCUUUAGAGAGAUGUCCAUGUGGGAAACCAAGCCAUCCAUCAACAGCCAUGAUGAAAAUUUUUAAGUCACUAUAGCUGUAUAACACAUUUGCUAUAUAACAUAUAUGAAGCAAGUCAGUCCUCAUUCCCUUCUUUUUCUUCACAUUUGUUUGUGUGGUUUUACUUGCUGGUCUCGGCUUAUUCACUACUUCCUAAGAGAACCCUUCCUGUCUCCUUAAGUACACUGAAUUCUCCAGUUACAUGGAGGUAUGUUUUCUUCACUGCACAUUUUUGCCAGGAAUCUACAUUGAGUGCGUUUAUUUGACUGAUGUUUGCCUUUUCCAGCAGAUGGUAAGUACCGUAAAGUCACGGAUCAUGUCUAAUAGUGCUCAUCACUACAUACUCCAAGGAUUUCUGUUCCUGGCCCAUUGUAUAUGCUUAAUAAAUGUUUGUAUAGAACACCAAUUACUAUCUGUCUAAAGAGGAUAGGCCUGUUACAUAAAAGAGAAUAUGUUUUUUUUCCUGGCUGCUUGUGUAUAUUGAGAUGGCAAAUUUGUUAGUUGGAGCUGGGGCUGGACUGAAUUGUUUUCAUAAUUUAGGAGAGAGGAAUUUGGUUGGAGUUGGAAUGAUGGAGAAGGGUCAGUGGACAGGAUUAGAAAGGCUGAGAUGCAUGAUGGGGAAAUGGAGCCAGAGGCGCUCUGGAGCUGGUAUGAAAGGAAUAAGGAG
RNAcentral lists this long non-coding RNA (733 nucleotides) under Homo sapiens (human). RNAcentral describes it as "HSALNT0330442". The record is from RNAcentral. Lineage: Eukaryota; Metazoa; Chordata; Mammalia; Primates; Hominidae.